GAUGAACGCUGGCGGCGUGCCUAAUACAUGCAAGUCGAGCGAACGGACGAGAAGCUUGCUUCUCUGAUGUUAGCGGCGGACGGGUGAGUAACACGUGGAUAACCUACCUAUAAGACUGGGAUAACUUCGGGAAACCGGAGCUAAUACCGGAUAAUAUUUUGAACCGCAUGGUUCAAAAGUGAAAGACGGUCUUGCUGUCACGUAUAGAUGGAUCCGCGGUGCAUUAGCUAGUUGGUAAGGUAACGGCUUACCAAGGCAACGAUGCAUAGCCGACCGGAGAGGUGGCUCGCCCACUCUGGCUCUGCGACCCCCUCCACACUCCUGGGGGCGGCCGCUGUAGGAACUCUUCCGCAGUGCGCGAGAGUCUCCCGGAGCCACGCCGCGUGAGUGGUGGAGGUCCUCGGCUCGUAAAACUCUGUUAUUAGAGGAGAACAUGUGUGUAUGUAACUGUGCUCAUCUUGCCGUUACCUAAUCAGAAAGCCCCGGCAACCACCGU
Molecule: ribosomal RNA, 496 nt
Filed under: uncultured bacterium
Lineage: Bacteria
Description: partial 16S ribosomal RNA
Rfam family: Bacterial small subunit ribosomal RNA
Source: RNAcentral